UAGCCAUCAUUUGGAGCACAUCUUGAUCCGUAUAUUGAGGCUUUAGUCCCUCUUCCAAAGAUUGCCUUAAGACUAUAUAGUACAAUUGUUCUAUAUUUUGGUAACCAAGAUCAUUUGUGAAAUUUCUUGACUUAAUAUAACUCAUUAAAUCUAGGUCAUAAUUAUAAUAAUAGCUGAUGAAGCCACCAAUGUCUUGCAUGCUAGGAGAGAAAUGAAAAAAUCUACAUGAUGGAUUUCUAAUAUAACUAAGUCAUCCAUUUGGCAUACAUACAUAAAAUCAUUAUUAAUAUAACAUUGUUAUAAAACAGUAGUAUUAUCUAAUUUACUUAACAUACAAUACUAUUG
Molecule: long non-coding RNA, 345 nt
Filed under: Elaeis guineensis (African oil palm)
Lineage: Eukaryota; Viridiplantae; Streptophyta; Magnoliopsida; Arecales; Arecaceae
Description: long non-coding RNA (EGUI_LNC033388)
Source: RNAcentral